This 5358-nucleotide long non-coding RNA is filed under the name Nicotiana benthamiana. RNAcentral's name for it is "long non-coding RNA (NBEN_LNC036295)". The record is from RNAcentral. Lineage: Eukaryota; Viridiplantae; Streptophyta; Magnoliopsida; Solanales; Solanaceae.
CAUGCGGAAGCUAGUAACAUAAAUCUCGAACGAUAAUAAAUCAUAUAACAAAAGAGAAAUAUACUAAAAGAGAUACAAAUAUUUAACGUGGUUCAGUCAACUGACCUACGUCCACGACGGAGAUGAACAAUCCACUAUAUAAACGAGAGUACAAAAUAUCGAGAGAACAACCUCACAAAGAGGUAAACACAAGUGACACACUAACAUUUGUCCCGUAAAGUUCUGCCCCUAAACACGACUCUUAAGCCCCCUAUGACUACAUUGUAGAUGCUACUGAAUGAGAAAGAAGGAUCCUUAAUUUAUAGUAGUCCAAACAUUUUCCUACAAGAAAAAGAACUAGCCAAAUAUGAGAGAUUUGUCAAUUCCUUCUACAAGAAGGAAAACCCAAUUAAGGUAAUUAUAUUGCCCUUUCCUUCAAAAAAUAGGAAAAUCAAAUAUGGUAAGAAAAUAGUGGAAAACACCUAACAAUUCUCCCCCUUGGCCUGAAUUUUCUGACAAAAUAAACUUGAUUCACCUUCUUCACAUAGUCUUCAACAUGUCGCAUUCCAAAUCUUCAUCAUAAAGUUUGUCUCAACGUGCGUAGCACACAGGUCAAAUUUCUCAGAAAAAAUCACGAUUAUCGUCAAAUAUGCGCGGCUAGAACUGAACCCGCCAAGAUGAACUUAUCUUGAACUUUGCUCGGAUACCACUUGUUAGGACCGAAAAAAUCAGAUGUCAUACGAAAGUUAGUAACACAAAUCUCGACGAUGAUAAAUCAUACAACAAAAAAGACAUAUACCAAAAGAGACAUAAAUAUUUAACGUGAUUCGGUUAACUGAUCUACGUCCACAACGGAGAUGAACAAUCCACUAUAUAAAAAAGAGUACAAACUAUCGAGAGAACAACCUCGCGAAGAGGCUAACACAAGUGAAUAACUAACACUUGUCCAGUAAAGUUCUCCCCCUAAACACGACUCUCAAGCCCCCUAUGGAUACAUUGUGGAUGCUAAUGAAUGAGAAGGAAAGAUCCUUGAUUUAUAGAACUCCAAACCUUUCCCUACAAGAAAAAGGACUAGCCAAAUACGAGAGAUUUGUAAUUUUCUUCUACAAGAAGGAAUACCCAUUUAAGGUAAUUAUAUUGCUCUUUCCUUCAACAAAUAAGAAAAUCAAAUAUGGUAAGAAAAUUAUGGCAAACACCUAACAAUUCUCCCAUUUGGCCGGAAUUUUCUAAUAAAAUAAACUCGAUCCACCUUCUUCACAUAGUCUUCAACAGGUCGCAUCUCCAAAUCUCCACCACAAAAUUUGUCUCAACGUGCGUAGCACACCUGUAACGACCCGAAUGGUUGUUGUACUGUUUAGAACCCCUUACCCUUAAAUAAAACUCCCCACGCCUUCCUUAGCUAAAUUACGACUUGCGGGGUCGAUUAAUUCGGAAGUUAGAAGAAUUUUGAGGAAAAAUAAAACCAAUUAUUCCCUUAAGGUUUUCUUAAAAGGCCAGGUUUGACUUCGGUCAACUUUCUUAGGGAAUAGACCCGGAUUCGGGAUUUGACGGUCCCGGAAGGUCUGUGAAAAAAAAAGGGACCUGGCGUAUGCUCGGAAUCGAAUUCUGAGGUCCUUAGCUCGAGUAUAGAAUUUUUAUGUAAAAUUGUUAAAUCGAAUCUUUAAGAAAUUAAAGAAUCUAAGUAUUUAUUAAAAACCUAGGUAUCGGGUUUGGAUUCUGGUUCCGGAACUUGGUAUCCGAGUAGUCUAAGGGCGUUUUGACCCACUGGUAGGAAAUUAAGAACUUGAAGUUCAUUAAGUUUGAUCAAUUUGUUUUAGGGUCCAAUUCCUUGAUUAAGCGUUGUUUUGGGAAUUUCGAGGGUUCGACUAGGCCCGCCUCGUGAUUUUAGACUUGUCGGUAUGUUCGAGCGGGCUCGGGAGCCCCAAGUGUCUAAUGGUCGAGGUUCGAGCGAAGUUGAAACUUAGAGAAAACACAAUGUGCUGCUUCUGUCAAAACCGCUUCUGCGGCAUUUGUCACACCUCCUUUUUAUGCACCCGCGAGGGCGCAGAGGGAGUUUUUCCAAUUAAAGGACAAUCGGAACGGAAUUUUAUUGUUAUUUAUUCAGAAUCACCACUUGAAAGAUUAAUGGUGUUUCAAGUCACCGGUUGAAUCCCGACCAAGGAAAAUCAUGACUCUGUUAACAGUCUGCGAACCAAAAAUCCAGAUAAGGAAUUCUGUUAACCCGGGAGAAUGUGUUAGGCAUUCCCAAGUUCCGUGGUUCUGGCACGAUCACUCAACUGUCAUAUUUGGCUUAAUUAUCUGACUUUUACAAUUAUGACCUUAAAAGAAAAUUUUAACUUUGAACCGCUUUUAUCAUUAAUAUUAUUGUUAUUUUGGCAUUGACAAACUUACCUUAUUGACGAUAAACUAGGCAUAUUUAACGAUCAUCCAACAUUACUCAAAUUAAUAAUUUAAUUGCGUAGUUUAAAACAACCAAUUUCAGGAGCCAUUCAAGUUACCAAACCUAAACAUGAAUGAGAGAUGCAGAACUCAAACUACUGACUCGAUCAACAACAUUAUUCACUAAAUUUCCACCAUAAUAAUCCAAACACACAAGUACUUGAAAAAUGGUUUAACCAAAAUAGAAUCAAAAUCAGAAAUUAGAGUUCAAAUAUAGUCCGUAAAUACACUGCAUAAGCCCGACUAAAUAUAGUAGCGUUCAAGUGAUUAAACUAUAGAAUCAAAAUCAGAGAUUAGAGUUUAAAUAUAGUCCGUAAAUACACUGCAUAAGCCCGACUAAAUAUAGUAGCGUUCAAGUGAUCAAACUGAUUAGAUAAGAAAACAUAUGAACAAUCUUUGAAGAACACAUACCAACGUUAGGCUAACACCUCAUAUGUUACUCAAGUGCUUAAGCCUACCUGGAUUGAAAAAACAGGACAAGAAGAAAGAGAAAUCAGCGGCAGUUGACAACAACAGCAGUAACACAGCAAACUCAAAACUCAGUUGUUGAACCAACAGCAAUACAAGCACCCAAAACAGAUUUUGGACUGUUUCAGACUGAUCCCAAAACUACUCUUAAACUUAUAGAGUGAUGUUGAAGAAAACUGAAUGCCUUUUCUCUCUAUUUCCUCAACCCUUAUUAAGAGGGACUAAUGAGAUAGUACAGUUUUCAAGACAACAAAACAGAACCCUCUUAACAAUACUCUCUUAAGACUUUUUCAAACUGAUUUUCGGGACUAAAAACAAGAACAUGAACUCUUUUUUACUUUCUGAAAAUUUGAUACAAGACUCCUCUAAGGUUUUUCAAGCUCUUAGAAAACUCUCCAAAUCUUUCAAUAUGUUUUUUUUCCAGUCUUUUUAUUCUUUAAAAUCUGAUCUCCUAAAAAUAGCCAAAUGGCUCUUAUUUAUUCAAACAAGAUCCUCUUUUUUCUUCCACUUUAAUUAUUACUCUACAAACAUUUUAUUAUUACCUUACUUUAACAUCCAGCCACCAAAAGAUGCUCUUCUACGCCACUUUUAUCAUCACUUACACUAUUCUUAAUUUCAAUUAAGCAAAAUAGUCAACACUCAUCAUUUUCAAUGAUUCCUCCUACUAAUUAAUUCAAAUGAAAGCACAUUGGGGUCCUACAGGAUAAACUUAUUCAGUCAAACCAGAUUUUCCUAUUUUUCUAUUCCUAGAACACCCCUGGAAUCCUCUGUGCUUUACCCUAUAACCCCCUUACUGUCCUGUCUCACCCCUGUAGCCCAUCAACUGUGGACAAUUGAUCUAACACAAAAUAUAAUCACAGAUUAUCUAAAUCAACUCUUAAUUAAACAAUGAAACUAAUCACUGAUUAUCCUAAAUCAACUCUUAAUUAAACGAUGAAACACCAUGAACUUUAUCCAAACCAAGAAUACAUCAGCUAUAACCAAUGUUCGUAAGGGGAAACUUAACAGCUAAAUAAACUGAGGCUUAAAGGUGGUCUCAGAUUCAAUUUACAUCAGACCCUAAACCUGUUAUUUAUCUAAAACUAAAUUCUUAUUUACAGCUAUAACAAAUCCUGAAUAUCAAGUAAACAAAAUCAUAGAACUAAACACAAUUAAAAAUGACCUAUUUCAAUAACCUUUAAAACAACAUAAACAAUUAACUACUUAAAAAACAAAGAUGAACUGAAACUAUUUGACGAGAAUCGACGAAAACCUGAAUUAAUUGACGAAAACUAAUUAAUACAUUGCAUAUAACAAUUGAUAACGAACAGUCAGAAAUAGAUAAACAGGUAAUCAGGGAUUCGAGUGGCAUUUGACAGAAAUGGGGAUUAAAAGGAAACCAAUUAAUCGACAAAUCCACUCACAUUGAUUAUAUAAUUUACAGCCUAUACUUAAUCAAUGAACAGAGGAAAGGACAAUUGGCCAAAUAAAAGGCCUGAUUUGGAGAAGAACGGGAUAUAUAACAAAAAUCUAAAAAAAAUCAAAAUAACAAACUAAACAUAUAUUAAUAGUACCAAAAGAACAAAAGAAAAGAAGAAAAAUACCUUAAAAUAGGCAGAAACUGGACGACCUCAAUAUCGAACUCAGACUCGAGCCUUUUUAGGGUAGAAAAUGGACUUUAAUCGAGUUUUCUCGAUUGACAACACUCGACUAAAGUCGAUUGACACCCCAAUUUCUUCAAUUUUUCAACAGAACCAAAGUUUUGGUCUUCUAGCGUUCUUGGGCUCGAAUUGGGAUUCGAGUGGUUCCCAGGUAAUUCGAAGAGAACCAAUGGUGGUUUAGGGGUGAGGGUGGCCUGGGGGUGUCGUGGUGUGAAUUUGGGCUCGGUUGGGGUAGGGUUCAGUUUGGGCUCGAAUCUUCGAUCAAAGAUUCGAGAAGCUUGGCCAUGAUUCGGAUGAAAUGGAUUGUGGAUUUGGAGAGAGGGUGGCUUAGGGGUUCAGGGGUGUAAAUUUGGUGUUCAUCGGAGCUUAGGCGCCAUGUCUAUGGUGAAGGGGGUAGGGUGGCGGCUCUAGGUUUGGGCUCGGGUCUCUCUCUGAACGAGAGAGACGAUGAACAGUGAGGAAGGGGGGUCUGAUAUGGUGGUGGGUGAGAUAUUAGUAUUAUAUAGACGGGGACGAUUCAGUCUUGGCCGUUGGAUCAUUAACGAUAAACGGCCUAGAUCAUUCACUUAAACGAAACACUACCAUUUUGAUCUUGUUGAGAGACUGGGCUGACCCGAGUCCAAAUGAACGGGGUUACGUGGGAAGCCUUUGACCGUUAGAUUAACGAGUAUGAACGGCUCAGAUUGAUUCAUCUGAAACGACGUCGUUUGAGCUUGGACGGGAGCUGUACUGGACCGUUUUAUCUGUUUGAUCAACGGUUCAAAUUUUGAUAUGUCAAAACGGUUUCGUUUGGACCAUCUGAGAGACUGGGUCAUGUGGACUGGGUCUUUGC